UGAAUUGCCAAUGGGCGCAAGCCNGAAGUCAACCGCCCUAGNGGNNAANAUGAAGGCCUUCGUUUCCGUAAAGCUCUGUCCUCAAGGAAGAUAAUGACGGUACUUGAGGAGGAAGCCCCGGCUAACUACGUGCCAGCAGCCGCGGUAAUAAAAUA
This 155-nucleotide ribosomal RNA is filed under the name uncultured bacterium. RNAcentral's name for it is "partial 16S ribosomal RNA". It matches the Rfam family "Bacterial small subunit ribosomal RNA", at positions 358 to 529 of the family's 1533-position model. The record is from RNAcentral.